AGCGAACGUUUGCGGCGGGCCUAACACAUGCAAGUCGAACGCACUAGCAAUAGUGAGUGGCGCACGGGUGCGUAACACGUGGGUAAUCAACCCUUCAGCCUGGGAUAACGACUCGAAGGGGUCGCUAAUACCGGAUACGGCGCGAGAGGCUUCGGCUUCUCACGAGAAAGCCACGCAAGGGGCACUGAAGGACGAGCCUGCGGCCCAUCAGCUAGUUGGUGAGGUAAGAGCUCACCAAGGCUAAGACGGGUAGCUGGUCUGAGAGGAUGAUCAGCCACACUGGAACUGAGACACGGUCCAGACUCCUACGGGAGGCAGCAGUGGGGAAUAUUGCGCAAUGGGCGAAAGCCUGACGCAGCCACGCCGCGUGAGCGAUGAAGGCCUCGGUCGUAAGACGUCUGUGGGAGGAGACGAAGAAAGACCUGUGAGAGCAGGCC
RNAcentral lists this ribosomal RNA (437 nucleotides) under uncultured bacterium. RNAcentral's name for it is "bacterial SSU rRNA". It matches the Rfam family "Bacterial small subunit ribosomal RNA", at positions 29 to 469 of the family's 1533-position model. The record is from RNAcentral.